This 71-nucleotide non-coding RNA is filed under the name bovine gut metagenome. Its description in RNAcentral is "Glycine riboswitch". It matches the Rfam family "Glycine riboswitch aptamer", at positions 9 to 86 of the family's 94-position model. From Rfam's summary of the family: This family represents the bacterial glycine riboswitch. Glycine riboswitches usually consist of two metabolite-binding aptamers domains with similar structures in tandem. The record is from RNAcentral.
UUCCGGGAGAGUUCCUUACAAAGAAGGACGCCGAAGGGGCAACGUGAAAUCUCUCAGGCAAAAGUACCGGA